AUCCAUGGCCAUAGGACUCUGAAAGAACCGCAUCCCGUCCGAUCUGCGCAGUUAACCAGAGUGCCGCUUAGUUAGUACCACGG
Molecule: ribosomal RNA, 83 nt
Filed under: Lentinula boryana
Lineage: Eukaryota; Fungi; Basidiomycota; Agaricomycetes; Agaricales; Omphalotaceae
Source: RNAcentral